CCCGAGAGGAGGGCCACGUGCAGCACAGCACACCUCCCACCACCGGCCGGCCACUAACUCCAGAUCAGAGUCCGAGAAGCGGCCAGCAAGGCUUCCGGGCGGACCCCUGUGCCCCACGGCCCCCAGCGUCCCUCCCGCAGCCCCUGGCUCCUUCGUUGCCCCGCUCCGUGACUUCCUAGCACCGCUGGCUCCUCAUCAAGCAAACGAGCACACAGCUCUACCCUCAGUUGAGUGCCCGGGGAUGUUCUGGGCCUGGCACACAAGGCAGAAGCCAGGCCUUGGGCCGGGGCUCCCCUGGCGCGCCGCCCUCCCCUCCACGGGUGGACCUGUGAUAAAGCCACUUUUCCACCGCACCGGAGGGGCCUCAAAGCUUCGAACACUGGAGAGCAGUUCUCGUCCCCGGCCUUCUCUGCUUCCCCUCUGCAGGUGAGAAAGUCGGGCACCUGCCCACACUCACAGAGGCCGCCCCGAUCCGGUCAGCCGUUCCCUGUCUGCCCCGCAGCCCCACAACGACACCGCAAAUACCCAGUCCCAAGGGCUGGGACCAGAUUCUGUUGCAUUCAACCCGCGGGAGAACUCCGCCCGGGCUCCCGCAGUCCUGCAGCAGGAAGAAAGAGGGCGCUCUUCUCUCCCGCACCUGGACACGGCCUCUCAGCGACCGCGCGGGCAGAGUCGGGGACAGCGGCAAGGGGCAAAGGCCCAGCCCCACCGGGACAGCCCGCCCGCCAUUCCCGCUCAGCCCGCGCUUCUCCUGAACUCAAGGGAAGAGCGUGCAUGCAGUCCCCCACUACCACAAAUUAUGCAGUCGAGUUUCCCACAUGUGGGGAAAUCGCAGGGGUCAGCACUCCCGCAGUGCAAUGGAAGAGCCUAGCCCUGGGAAAAGCACCUGCCUGAUCGUGGUGUCUGCCCUGCCAGGUAAGUAUAUUUGCUGAUUUGAUAAUUACACAGUCUAGCUUAAGAGGCAAGUGGCGGGUGUGAGAUAAUCAGACGGGAUGCCAGAUUAGAUGGUACUAACUAUAAAUAGGGGUGGAACCAGAGGAAAGUGAGACGUGUGGACCAACAGAGCUGCAGAGGUCUGCAUACGACAGCAGGUGUCCCUGAGUGGGGAGCUAGCACAGGCAGCAGUGGUGAGCAUGGGUGAGGCACAGCAGGACACGUGGCCAGCCAGCCCCAAGACUACAUACGGUCUGGAAUCCAGAGACAUCAUGGCUGGGUCUGGACUUGCCAUGGUUGGUAGGAGAACUCAGGGAGAACCUGAGAUGACUUUUUGGAUCAACUCUUGAUUAAUCUGGUGUGGAUUUUUCCAUGGUACAUUUAAACCUCAGACUGACUUGUCCUGACACUCAGGCCAUAGUCUACUUGCUGCCCUGGCCACAUUCAAUGUCACCCUGAGACUAUUAAUCUACCACAAGUGUUCCAUUGCUCGUGUGUCUUGGGCACCGCAAACUCCCGGUGAAGGCUCUGUAUCAUCUGGGUGCCUCCCCCUCCAUUAGCCCUGAGCCUUGCUGGGCCCUGUUACUUGCUGGGGCUCACAGGGCUGCAGGCUCAGUUCCUGCCCUCUCGCUCUGUCUUCUGAAGACCUUCCUGGGCUGUAAGCACAUCCUACGCCUAUAGACAGGGAUUCCCUGAAUCCUGACCCCCAAAACCAACAGCCCAGAAACACUUAGGCAGAGCAGCCAUCCAGAAUUCCGGUGGGUCUCUGGACAGCACCCCCUGGUGGACACAGAGAUUUCACCAUAUUCAACUCCAAUCCAGUCUCUUCCCCAACUCUCCCAGGAAAAUGGCCCCUCCUCCUGGUUUAACAUCACUACCUGUCCACUGAGCUCAGCUGAAAAUCUCAGUUGCCUUGAUGCCUCCUUCAGCCACCUGUCCACACCAGCUGCCCAACACACACUGCCUGAAUCUCUUCUAAAUACUCUUGAUGCUGACUCUGCUCCACCUGGGUUCACCCCUUUGUACCUAGAGUCUAGGUUUCUGCAGUAUCUGACAUCUGUCAGGCCCCAGCGAGGACAAAGGAAGCACUCUUAGUUCUCCCAGGUAAAAGGGACUGAAUGUGUGGAGUUGUCUGUAUAGGAGAUGAAAGAGUUAAGAAGCCACAUAGGAUGGUUUUGCAUCCCAGAGCCCAGCUACAGCAGGAAGCCACCAACAUCCUGAGGGCUGGAAAGAACAGGGGGAGGAGGUGGAGUUUUGAUACAGGAUGCCGGGGCCAGUAAGAUGGGAGCUACAACCAACAGGGCUGGAGGAACCAAAGAGACAGAACUGCUGCCGAAAGUGCUGCCUGAAGCAGAUGGGGACAUAACCGGGCUUGACGCUCCUCCUGCCCCCUAAUUCCCUGCUAGUGCCUCCUGCUGGCCAAGCCCAUCAAAAUCGCCGGACUUGGGCACCUGGGAAACAGCCUGUAGAAGUUAGGCCCCCGACAGGCAGAACAACAGAGGAAGGGCCCAGAGCCAGCCCCCUGCCUCUCCAUAUAUAUAAACCAGUCUCCAUCCCUAUAAUCUCUCAUUCCUUCUAAUCUGUUCUCCACUCUAUGCCAGAAAGAUCUUUCUUGCAUAUAAACUUAACUAAGUCAUUCCUCCUGCUUAAAACCUGGCAGCAGCUAGAAGUUUCCUGGCAAGAAAAAAAAAUAGGACUUAUCCACCAGGGUGAUUUUGUCAGUCACUUACAAAUAAAGGAAGUGCUACUUCACUUGGCUAUAAAAGUACUAGGUUUGCUCCAUAACAUGAGAUAAACUACUGCUCAAAGUAUUACCAAAAAACAGAAUGGAGACUUCAAAUUCAUCAACCAUGAAACUGGAAACUCGCUGAAGACAGCUACUUUCUGACCAGCGCUGAUGGCCAUGAUGAAGGGCUCAGUGAGCCAGUGGAAUAUGCCAUACAGAAGGAUGUGGGGAGCAAGGGGAGGCUGUUUAAACCUACUACAACAAUAGAGGAGCAAGAUUCAGUGAGUAACCGAAAGACUCAGAAUGAAAAGAAAAGCCCAGGUCAGAGGGCUUUGUUGGUGAACUUUAUAAAACUCCUAAAGAAUUAACACUAAUCCUUCACAGCCCUUCCAGAAAGUAGAAGAGGGGGAACGUGUCACAAUGUCACAACUCACCCAAUGGUACCAGUAGCACAUUGAUACCAAAACUGAAGACUUCACCAAAAAUCCGUCAGUAUCCUUUACAAAUACAGAUGUUACAAUCUUCAACAAAAUAUUAGCACACCAAACCCAGCUACAUAUAGAAAUGAUUACAUACCACACCCAAAUGAGAUUCAUCCCAUAAAUGCAGGGUUGAUUUAGUAUAUGAAAAUCAAGGUAAAGCACCAUAUUAAAUGAAAAAGCACAAAAAUUAUAUGAACAUCUCCAUAGAAAAAGAAUUUAGCAAUAUGUAACAUCUUUUAAUGAUAAAAACACUUAUAAACUAGAAAUAGAAGAAAUUCUUCAAGUUGAUAAAGAUAGUCUAUGAGAAAGUCACAGCUAACAUCAUAUUUAAUGGUGAAAACUGAUUUACCCCUAAAAUAAGACUGUACAUUCUGGUUACUUCAAUAUUGUAAUGGAAGUACCAGCCACUAUAACUAUGCAACAGAAAGAAACAAAGACAUCUGGGUUGGAAAGGAAGAAACAAACUAUUAUUAUUUGCAAAUGCCACAAUCUUAUAUAUGAGAUUCUCCAUGAAUUCCCAAAAUAUUAUGAGAGCUAAUUAGUGAGCUCAGCAAAGUUGCAGAAUACAGUGGGGAAAUAAUAGUCUUUUCAACAAACACUGCUGGAAUAAAUGGAGAUCCAGAUGUGAAAGAAUGAAGUUGAACCCCAGCCUCACAAAAAUCAACUCAAGGGGUUGGGGCUGUGGUGUAGCAGGUAAAGCCACCACCUGCAGUGCCAGUCUGAGUCCAGGCAGCUCCUCUUCCAAUCUAGCUCCCUGCUAAUUCACCUGGGAAAGUGGUGGAAGAUGGCCCAAGCACUUGGCCCCUGCACCCAAAUGGGAUACCCGGAAGAAGCUCCUGGUGUCGGAUCUGCCCAGCUUUGGCCAUUAUGGCCAUUUGAGGAGUGAACCAGCAGAUGGAAGAUAUCUCUCUCUCUCUCUCCCUCUCUCUCUCUGCCUCUCUGUAACUCUGCCUUUCAAAUAAAUAAAUAAAUAUUUUUUUAAAAAAUCAA
This is a non-coding RNA of Oryctolagus cuniculus (rabbit), 4131 nucleotides long. The record is from RefSeq and is a predicted model, not a curated record. Lineage: Eukaryota; Metazoa; Chordata; Mammalia; Lagomorpha; Leporidae.